Molecule: ribosomal RNA, 253 nt
Filed under: uncultured bacterium
Lineage: Bacteria
Description: partial 16S ribosomal RNA
Rfam family: Bacterial small subunit ribosomal RNA
Source: RNAcentral
UACAGAGGUGGCAAGCGUUGUUCGGAAUUACUGGGCGUAAAGGGCUCGUAGGCGGCCAACUAAGUCAUACGUGAAAUCCCUCAGCUUAACUGGGGAACUGCGUGUGAUACUGGAUGGCUUGGAUUUGGGAGAGGGAUGCGGAAUUCCAGGUGUAGCGGUGAAAUGCGUAGAUAUCUGGAGGAACACCGGUGGCGAAGGCGGCAUCCUGGACCAAUAUUGACGCUGAGGAGCGAAAGCGUGGGGAGCGAACAGG